CCGUGGUUUGUGUCGGGUCACGAGAUGGUGCGGGGACAGCGCCAGGUGACGCUCGGAGCGCACUUGAGAGCAAAGUUGAGGACUGGGGAGUCGCAGCCGCUCGUUACGUGCAGCCCUGGGACCUUUCAUCCCCUCUGGUCACUUGCGGCAGACUCAGGACAGUCCUGAAUCGUGGAAGAAGAAAAGGAGAGUAAUGUUAUUUAAUGGAGGGACUUCUGGGUACAAGUAGCUGAUUUCUUGAGUAGUUUAAAAACACUGUCUAUCGCAUUUAUUUAUAUCAUGCACUGUCGUUAGUUAUUACUGCGGAACAUUUGGUACAAUUUACUGGGCGACCAACUCGCUCUGGUUUCAACCUGAUCAGAACCUGAUCCGAAGUCCUUAUUGGGACUUCCCAGUUUUGCCCUCAAAAGUCGCGCAUCCCGGGAAUCCCCGUCUCCUGCAGUCCUGGUUAGACUGGGAAGAUUGUCACCGCUUUUGUCCAGUCUUCAGCCUGGAGGUAGGACGCCGGUCCUAAGUCGGGGACAGAGCCCGCACACCGGGUAGGUCGAUUCCAGCCUUUGACAGAGAAGACACAGCCUCCGGCGGUCAGAGAUAGCUAAACACAGAGAAAGAAAACAUGGUGUCAACAUCAGGCAGGAGAAAGACCAGCAGUUUUUGAAAACAGCUAUUUUUCUUUAAACCAAAAGCAUCAUUGGACAUAAUUUUAACUUACUAGCAUAAGUAAUCAACAGCUAAAACUGCACACAACAAACCUGAAGAAAACAGCUAUUUUGCAUGACAGUAUGAGUGGGAAGGAGUUCUGCCUGCUGCGGGUCAAAUCUGGCUCUCUCAUCACCAGGGAUCUUGGGAAAGUUACUCAGAAUCUCUGUGCCCACAUGCCCUGAGUCAAAAAAUAGGAAUAGUGGUAGCACUUACCUCAUAGGUUUGCUGGAAGGAUUAAAUCUAGUAAAAUGCCAGCUGUUGUCAAACCUAGAUAGUGUAUUCUGCUCACUGAAAGGUUUACAACACUUUUUUGUUUUGUGUGAUAUACUACGUGGAAAGAGAAGUUUGUGGUUGAAGCUAGUUUUCUGGAAAAUGUUAAUAAUAAAAUAUUUGUAAGAAGUCAAAAUUACUCAAUAGAACAAGAAUUGUAAAUCCAAACGAUUUGGUUUAACAUUAGGGCAAGGUGUUGACUAUGGCUUUUUAGUGGAUUUUUUUUUUAAGUCUCAGAUAUUAAGUACGUGCCCCCAUCUAAUUCCCUCAAUUGAAUAUAAUAUUUAAGUUUAUUAAGUUCACACUUAAAUUACCUUUGAACUAAAAUAGAUUUUGCUGUGUCAGUGAAAUCUCCAUGUGAUUAUGUAUUUGUUUAAACCAGGUAAGUGCCUAUAAAACACUGUACCCAAGUAGCAUAAACUUUUGGGAGCGUCAUUAAUAGUUUCGGUUAGCAUAAAGAUUUUAAUUUCUUAAGUUAAAAUAGAAAUUUUUGUUGAUUUGUUAAGAUUUGUUAGAUCUGGCUACAACCUUGGGGAUCUAGGAUUCUUAGAUAGAAGCUGUUGUUGCCACCACUUCUUUCUUUCCCAGUGCCAGAUUAUAGGUGACCAGUGUGUCUGUUGAGCUGAAUUCAGCUGCAGUGCCCCUCGAGUCCUAUUGCUCUGGCCUUCUCCAGUCUUCUUUUCUUGCCUGCAUUGUUGAGGUCACCUUCUAACUGAUCUCUCAUGUUUUAUUUGGCCUCUCUCCGUACCCUCUUUUAAUUCAUGAAAUAAGGUUUACUUUAUAGCAAAUUCAGUCCUGUCAGAUCUGCUACUUAACAUCCUUUAAGUUUAGCCCUCCCCAAUUAUAAGGCAGGGAAUUCCAUGCACAUUCUCCUAGUGACAAAAUGACAGCCCCUGCCAGUCUCUUCUGUCUCCAUUCCUGCGUCGAGGCCUGAAAUCCAGUCUUCCGUACCUACUGGAGACCAAAUGUGCCAGGCUUGUCUUACAAUACUUAACAUUUCCUCUGCCUUUCUGUCUUAACCUUCUAGUCAAGUACAUUAAAAACCUAGGCCCGGCCUUCGUCUCUUUCUUUGCCCUCCCCACCCCAUUCAUCCCAUACCUGGUUAACAAUGAUUUGUCCUUCCUGUGUGCCCAUAGGACUCAUUCCUUUAGUCUAGCACAUACCACACUCAUUACUUGUUCAGUGUCUUUCCAGCUCCCACCCACAGUUCUAUGAGAAAGGGAACAGUGUUUUAAUUUUUGUUUCCCUCCUUCUUACUGUAGUUCCCUAUAUACGUAGUGGAGCCUCAAUAAAUAUUGGUUGAAUGAAUGUUAAUUCGUAAGUAAAUAUAAAAUGUAUUCUGUUACUCAUAAUUAUCUGAAUAAUCUUAAUGUAUGGAUUGUUUGUAAAAUUGAACGCAUUGGAAAAAUGUUCAUUUAUUCUGUAAACAUUUGCAAAUGUCUACUAUGAUCUGGAGCUAUAAAAAUUUUAAGACAAAAUUCCUGUCUUCAAAAUUUUCACAGUGGGAUCAGGGAACAGGGAAGCCCGUAUUUAUCAGAG
RNAcentral lists this small RNA (2511 nucleotides) under Pan troglodytes (chimpanzee). Its description in RNAcentral is "processed transcript". The record is from RNAcentral. Lineage: Eukaryota; Metazoa; Chordata; Mammalia; Primates; Hominidae.